AGAACACUCGCUCUACUUUCCUCUUGCAAUGUGGAAUGUUGGCCUUGUCGGGUGUUCGCAGUAUAUCCUGUGCUUCCUGCUUGUUGAAGAAAAAAUCUCUGUCUAAUCCGAGGAGAGUUCUGCCGCUAAAGGGAAGGAUUAGAGCACAAGGCGCCACGGGUAUAAGGUUCCCCUGAGCAACGAUGAAAGUUUCAACCUGCGGCACAUGGGUGUAACUUUAACUGGAAUAAUGUGGAUCAAAGACUGACAAACAAAGUGGGUGGAAAUGCUGGAGUAGUGUCUGUGUUCGAGUAAAGGACGUUCACCAGAGAGGGACAGCGUUUAUGAAACGCAGACAGAGAAACUGUAAUUAAUUACUGAGAUAGUGUGUUUGUGCUCCUGAAGCUCCUGAAUUAAAUUAUCAACAUUAUUAACACUGUAUAACAUCUGUGACAUAUUUACAUUGGUGUUAUUUACAUUAUUUACCGGUGGCAAAUUAACAGUGCAAUUUAUUGUACAAUUUAUUGUACUUUAUAGAAAAUAUUCAAGUUCGAACUCCUGCAGCCUCAGAUUUAUCAAAGCUGCAUUUAUUCAAUAAACAACUAUUUUAAAUAAGUGUUUGUUCCCUGAAAUCCUGUCAGAAAUGUGGUCUUGAAAUCUGUGGCAUACAUGAACUCAUCAGAGGGGACCAGUUCUAUGUGGAAGUGUAACCUUUACACUGCAAUUGAACUUCCACAUACACAUGUUAUGAAAGGUCCCAGUGGCCCCCUGAUCUACUGACAUUGAUUUGAAGACUUGCUACUUUAUUAUGUACUAAGCCCUUUAAACAUGUCCUACACUGUGGCAUGUUAUGAGCCAAUGCUUCAUUGUCCAGCUUUAUUGAGAGUCGGUGUACGCACAGUCUCCACCAUUUCCCCAGAGUGAGGUCAUGGUUGUAGGAAGAAGAGACGAUCCAAGUGCAAUUUUGUCUCUCUUAUCUGUUGUUAUAACAGAAGGAUUCCAAUAAGCCAGGGAAUGGCCUAUUCAGGUGUUAUUCAUAAAAAAUGUAAGCAAAGAUAUAUUUGUUUUAACUUCACUUCAUAUAUAUAUAUAUUAAUUUUGAUUGUGAAACAAAAAAGAAGUAACUAUCCUAUUGAAUAAUUGUUAACAUGCCACAAGUUUGCAUUU
Molecule: long non-coding RNA, 1146 nt
Organism: Oncorhynchus masou masou (cherry salmon)
Lineage: Eukaryota; Metazoa; Chordata; Actinopteri; Salmoniformes; Salmonidae
Exons: 3
Source: RefSeq, a predicted model, not a curated record